UCUUUCUCAAAGUAUAUUUGA
RNAcentral lists this non-coding RNA (21 nucleotides) under Caenorhabditis elegans. Lineage: Eukaryota; Metazoa; Nematoda; Chromadorea; Rhabditida; Rhabditidae. The record is from RNAcentral.